CGAAAUCAAAGCUCCUUUGAGGUGUCCCCUCACAUCUUGAAGAUGUUACAACCACUACUUGAAGAGAAAACAAGAAAAGCAGCCUUGGCCAGCAGAAACGAUUUAGUGGUGAAGGAAACAGCAGAGCCCACCAGACUGGACAGCCCAUCUAGAAGCCACAUACCC
Mustela erminea (ermine) is the source of this 165-nucleotide long non-coding RNA. RefSeq lists it as uncharacterized. The record is from RefSeq and is a predicted model, not a curated record. The transcript has 3 exons. NCBI's taxonomy places the organism in Eukaryota, Metazoa, Chordata, Mammalia, Carnivora, Mustelidae.